ACAAGCGGCGGAGCAUGCGGAUUAAUUCGAUGCAACGCGAAGAACUUACCAAGGCUUGACAUACACCGGUAACGCCCAGAGAUGGGUGCCCCUUUGUGGUCGGUGGACAGGUGGUGCAUGGUUGUCGUCAGCUCGUGUCGUGAGAUGUUGGGUUAAGUCCCGCAACGAGCGCAACCCUCGUCCUAUGUUGCCAGCGGGUCAUGCCGGGGACUCAUGGGAGACUGCCGGGGUCAACUCGGAGGAAGGUGGGGAUGACGUCAAAUCAUCAUGCCCCUUAUGACCUGGGCUACACACGUGCUACAAUGGUUGGUACAACGAGUUGCGAGUCGGUGACGGCGAGCUAAUCUCUUAAAGCCAAUCUCAGUUCGGAUUGUAGGCUGCAACUCGCCUACAUGAAGUCGGAAUCGCUAGUAAUCGCGGAUCAGCACGCCGCGGUGAAUACGUUCCCGGGCCUU
RNAcentral lists this ribosomal RNA (455 nucleotides) under uncultured Lachnospiraceae bacterium. RNAcentral describes it as "bacterial SSU rRNA". It matches the Rfam family "Bacterial small subunit ribosomal RNA", at positions 925 to 1382 of the family's 1533-position model. Lineage: Bacteria; Bacillati; Bacillota; Clostridia; Lachnospirales; Lachnospiraceae. The record is from RNAcentral.